CAUUCCUAAGGUAUUUUUUGAUGUUAUUAUUAUUAUUAUUAUUAUUAUUAUUAUUAUUAUUAUUAUUAUUAUUAUUAUUAUUAUUAUUAUUGUUAUUCGUAUUAUUUAUUCAAGGCAUUGCCUGGAAUUGAAUUCGGAAAUUUGGGCAUGUGACGUAGUGGUU
Octopus sinensis (East Asian common octopus) is the source of this 163-nucleotide long non-coding RNA. RefSeq lists it as uncharacterized. The record is from RefSeq and is a predicted model, not a curated record. The transcript has 3 exons. Lineage: Eukaryota; Metazoa; Mollusca; Cephalopoda; Octopoda; Octopodidae.